CAUCGAUUCAUCAAUCAUCGUCUGCUGUCUUGUUUCUUUCGGUUACAAUUCUUUUAAUUGUCGAUACAAAAAUACCGAUAGCGAGUGAAGUUUCGUUGAAGAUGCCACUUCGCAUAAAUUUUUGCCUUCCAAAGUACUUAUAUAUGUUUAAAAUAACAUUUCUAGCUUGAUUGCUUAAUGUUUCUCUAGCUUAUAAACAAUUGAACUAUCCGCCAUUAUCGCUAAAGGCUAAAUGACGAUGACGUCAUUCAGUUAUAGUUAUUUAAUUUUAAGCGAUCAGAGAUUUAAUUUAAUAUUUAAUAAUAUGACCACGAAAUGUAAAGUACCAAUUUAUCUAUUUUUAAAAAAUAACAAACGUUUCAAAUUAUUAACGACGGUAAAAAAUAAACAGCUAUUGGAUGAACGAAACAGAAACUCGCUAUUCUAUUGGAUGGAUUGACAUUUGCAAUUCAAAAGUUCUUUACCAUAUAACGUAGUCUCUCUUUAGUUGAAAAGAGUAUAAUUCUGAUUGCCAAUUAUAUAAGUUAUAGUAGGAAAACGAAUCUGGGGCGUUUGACGCUUCAGAUUCUCAAUAACUGUUGUAUUUUUACCUAUAAUAACAUUGUUACUUAAGUCAACCGGAUGGCCACGGUAGCAGCGUACUGCACUUCCAAUCUGAGGAUCUGGAUCCAUUUCGGGGUUCCAUACCUCCAGUUUUUCAGGAAGAGUCCGGGCCCGGCCUAUUGAAACCCAUCCUCCACCUCAUGGCCGACCCUACCAUCUAUGGUGGGACUGGAAUGCCCUAUCGCUUAGUGUACACAAUAUGGAAAGGGUGUAAAACCAUGACAGAAGAAAACAUUUAUUACUUCUAGCAUAUGGUGUAAUAAUGAACAAUAAAAGCGUGUCUGUAAAGAGAUUAUCCGAGC
Molecule: long non-coding RNA, 905 nt
Filed under: Androctonus crassicauda
Lineage: Eukaryota; Metazoa; Arthropoda; Arachnida; Scorpiones; Buthidae
Source: RNAcentral